Long non-coding RNA from Micropterus dolomieu (smallmouth bass), 334 nucleotides. RefSeq lists it as uncharacterized. The record is from RefSeq and is a predicted model, not a curated record. NCBI's taxonomy places the organism in Eukaryota, Metazoa, Chordata, Actinopteri, Centrarchiformes, Centrarchidae. The transcript is spliced from 3 exons.
CGCUUGUGACCGCUGGAAACUACAUAGUGCUCCUUUAAGAAGUGUAUAUUUUCAGCAGGGUGCCAUCUUGUUGAGAGGCUAGGCACCCGUGGAAAGGUCCCUUCACUUUUAUGCAUGGCUACAUCCACACUACCACGUUUUUCAAGAAUACCAGGGAUGUUUUCCCACGGACCGACAACGAGGUGGAACUGUUACAGAGACCAUAAAGCGACUGUGGUGGUGGAGGACAGACUCUGAGUCAUCGCAAAGAAAAUACGGCGACAUUCACAGUAAAAGUGUGUAAGUGUUAUUUGCAUAGUACAAAAUAUUUUAAUAAAAUACAAUAGCAUAAACA